This 76-nucleotide ribosomal RNA is filed under the name Pseudoflavonifractor capillosus. RNAcentral's name for it is "partial 23S ribosomal RNA". It matches the Rfam family "Bacterial large subunit ribosomal RNA", at positions 2849 to 2925 of the family's 2925-position model. Lineage: Bacteria; Bacillati; Bacillota; Clostridia; Eubacteriales; Oscillospiraceae. The record is from RNAcentral.
GACGUUGAUAGGUCGGAGGUGUAAGCACAGCAAUGUGUUGAGCUGACCGAUACUAAUCCGCCGAGGGCUUGACCUG